CAGGGAGAGAGGGCAGGCCCCUGUGAGCCCCAGGCCACUUCCAUUUUGACUUUGUGUGAAGCAGGAGCCAUUGGAGAGUUGGGGCAGGGGGUGGUGGGGACACCUCCCCAGAGGCUGGCCUUUCAGUAAAGGAAGCAGGUGACCAAAAGAGCACAGAAAGGAGCCCUUCUCUGGAGCACAGUGAAUUUUCUUCUUGAUUAUCGUAUUUGGUCUUUCCAACUUCUUAUUUUAGGGAAAACAAAAGAUCUGGCCAUACAUGGCUAUGGGGAACAAAGGGGCCACCAUCAUUUGUCUCUUUUGUAGCUCAAGACACACAAAAGAGCCUGAAAGAUUUGCCCACGGUCAUAAACUGGAAUAACGGGGGAGAGAGAGCCAGAGGUCAGGCCCCAUCCUUCAAGCCCUGCGGCACUCACCUGACAGGUGCCACCUCCAAAGGUGGGAGGGCCCUUCCGAGGAAAGCCAGGCACCGCCCCCCCCCAUCCCCCGCACCCUGCCCAGGAGGGCUUGCGGGGGCAGCAGCCUGAGACAGAGUCCUCUCCUCCCCUCAAGACAGCGAAUGAGAACCGCGAACCUCAGGAGGGUGAGAAAUAACUAACAAACCGCGGGGAAGUGCUUUUGGACGGCGGAAGGAUGCUAAGUAAUGGUAAUGCAGCCGGGAAGGCGCGGCGUACACGGUGAUGGAAAGAAACCUGUCACCAUGACUCAGGCUUUACAAGGCCAGCGGGGAGCCCUCGCGGCGACUGCUCGCUCGCCCGCCCGCCGCCAGGUGAUGGAGCGCAUCGCUCCCCGCCCCACCGGUGCGGUGGGGUCCAUCCGGACUCGGCCAGGACACCCCUCAGAACCAGAAUUGGCAACGUGUAAGUGAGGCUGGCAAGUGAUGGCAGGCAUCAGAUGACAGCCGAACGAGAAUGGCAAAACUGCAACGCCAGCCUCAUCCAGGCGGCCGGUGUCAGGUGACUUGCCCAUCCAUAAAGAAGCAAAUGGAAAAGAUCGCAAGAGCUGGGAUGCUGAGAUGGCAGAACAAUGCUUUGAGGAGUGCCAGCAAAUCAGUGUUCAAUCAUGAAUGUUUGUCUGAAGUCCGAUAGAACUGCAAGACCAACAUUUAAUUCACUUAAGGCAAGUCCACCCACCAUCCCAGACAGGCUUAAUAGCAAUAAGAUUGCCCUGGUCUAACGUGUAUGUCACAAAAGAAAAUGAUCAUUCUUAUGGGUUCCCCCAGUGAUUGGGGAAACUGGUGAGAUAUUUCUGGUGCUAUUUUGAAAAGCUGAAUCCAAUGGAAUGAAAACAAAGAUGCCUACCUGAAACUACCACUUGAGGGAAAAAAUAAAUAAAUAAAUAAAUAAAAGAUGUAAGUAAAA
Molecule: long non-coding RNA, 1358 nt
Filed under: Bos indicus x Bos taurus (hybrid cattle)
Lineage: Eukaryota; Metazoa; Chordata; Mammalia; Artiodactyla; Bovidae
Description: lncRNA (ENSBIXG00005023020.1)
Source: RNAcentral